This is a long non-coding RNA of Carassius gibelio (silver crucian carp), 935 nucleotides long. RefSeq lists it as uncharacterized. The transcript has 5 exons. NCBI's taxonomy places the organism in Eukaryota, Metazoa, Chordata, Actinopteri, Cypriniformes, Cyprinidae. The record is from RefSeq and is a predicted model, not a curated record.
GUUUCCUCUCUAAUGGAUGAACUCCUUGGAAUAAAACAGAGAGUGAGAGUGGUGAUUGUUGAGAAUGAGAAACUAUACGAGGAGCUGAAGGCAAAGGCAGUAGAAGAAACUAUACACAUAUUAAAGAAUAUACAUUUGUAGACAGCACGUUAAACGAGUGCAGACCAGAAAAGCCUUCAAAGCAAAGACUCCAAUAAUCAAGCUGAGGACCGAAAAUGGAAGAAAGAAAGGCUGGAGUGUCUCUAUCAAGCGCAAACUGAGACUCUGGGGGCCCAAGUGGUCUCCCUGAAGUAAGUUGGCUUUAAUCAGUGGCCAAGCCCAAAACAUCGGGUGGUCUGUGUCUGAAGUGUGUUAAGCAUGAAGCGAUCCUGGCAGAGACACACUCCAAUGUCAAUGUACAAAGCAUUGAAAAUCUCACUAAAGCGAGAUGAGCUGGUGACAGUGGUCUGCUCUCUGAGGGCCAGUCAGACUGAAGCCCAGCAGAGAGAGCGGGCUGCCUAUCAACAGGUCAAACAGGCACUGAUGGCAGCAGAAGAGGCAAACCUGGAGCAUUGGUGCAGUGUGAGUACUUCCACAAUGAGCUGACUAGACAGAGGGAAAGACUGGAGAGAGAGCUGGCAUCUGAACAGUAAGAAAGAGAAGGCUGCCCUCUAGUGUAAUUUUAAUUAUGUCACACAACUACAGUUUUGUAAAAGUCUUUGAAAAAGACUUCAGAUUCAGUGCAAAAAAUAAAUAAAUGGCCCCAUCAUAUUCUGCACUACUGUUUAGUAAAUAUCAGAAAUUGACGAAAUAUUCAAGUUUAAACCAAAGUGUUCAAAAAUAUGUUUUUUCCCCCAUGUCUGUUGGGGUCUAAAAUUCUGAGACCACUAGAGCUCCUGUUAUACAUUCUUAUGUUUUCACAUUUACCUUUUAUUUAAAAUAUGCUUUCAUCCAAA